GGAAAUCUGAAAUCCUAAAGUCAAAGGACAAGGUCUAAUUUUGGCUUUGUGUUGUCCUGUCAGCCUCUCUUGUCUGAAAUCCACAAUGCAGUUGCCCUAUUCAGUUUGGACUUUGGCUAAUAAUACUCAUAGUCUGCCCCUAAGAGAAAGACAAGAGAAUAUGGACUUAUUUGGGAAGAUGGAUGACAUAUUAUACAAUUUUAUGAAUUCCUCAAAAAGGUUAAACAUCCACUAUGUGCCAUGGACUAUGUUAAGUGGGUCCAUUAAAGCAGAGACAAUAUGUCCCCAGUAAGGAGCACAGUACUUGACACAUGGUGCACUGAAGUGCCCUACAAUCCUCUCUGCCCAGAGAGAAGAAUGAAGCAUGAAGCCAAGAGAAAGAAAAGGACCUCCCUGCCUCCUCACAUACAACACAGAUACGUACACGUACAGAUGAGCAUACGGAAACACAGAUCCCUGCAUCAUGACAUAUAUGCAGGCGUCCGUUCUCAAAGAAGACACACUCACAUCGGAGGAGCGUUGCUGAAGUUCCCAUGGGCUUUCCCGUUCCUGGUCCUACUCUCAAGAGAGAACUUCUGAUUUCCAAGAUGGGCAUGGAAUGUGAAUCUGGAGCCAUUUGUUUUCUUGGAUGAAGGCCAGACAAAGGUGCAUCACAAUCCCAUAGCAAAGGAUGCCUCCAGUCAUGUUCUCUGACUUUUCUCCAUGAUGAAAACCACUUUCUCUGACUACCCCACAACAGAGGAGUAAUUUGGAGAUACUCAUGUAAUCAUCACAUGAUCUUAUAAGUAAGAUGUUGUUAUUCCUGUCUUCCAUGAGAGGAAACGGAGGUGAAGGGAAAGAACUGACCUUCCCAAGGCCACACAGUUGGUAGUGAGAAAGCUGUGUUGAAUGUGAGCAGUCCUUGUCCAGAGCCCAGACACUUCAAGCCACUACAUCACGCCCUUCUUGUCAGCUAAAGGGAGAUCCUAAUCAUUACAAUGCAUUGCAGUGGACCAUGACGGUGCAUAAGAUACUAUGACGCUUGCUUCCAUUUUUUCAUGAUCUAGAGUUUGAGAAAGGUGCAUUGUGGCUUUCCUCACACUGUACGUCUGCUUAUAAAUUUUCACUGACUUUAUGUCACACUGCAGUAUGAAUCAUUUGAAACCAACCAGCUUAGUCUAUAUUUGUCAGUGUAAGUGUCAAGCACUCUAUAUUCUGAGCUUUUAUUUCAACACUCGAAUGCUUUAUCUAAUGUUAUUUUUCAUGGACAUACCAGUAUAAUCAGUCAUGUUUGUUUAUUUAUUUAUUUAUUUAUUUAUUUAUUUAUUUAAAUAUAUGA
Long non-coding RNA from Leopardus geoffroyi (Geoffroy's cat), 1318 nucleotides. RefSeq lists it as uncharacterized. The transcript has 7 exons. Lineage: Eukaryota; Metazoa; Chordata; Mammalia; Carnivora; Felidae. The record is from RefSeq and is a predicted model, not a curated record.